AUUGAACGCUGGCGGCAGGCUUAACACAUGCAAGUCGAACGGAACCUUCGGGUUUAGUGGCGAACGGGUGAGUAAUGCCUAGGAAUCUGCCUAUUAGUGGGGGAUAACGGCUCGAAAGGGUCGCUAAUACCGCAUACGUCCUACGGGAGAAAGAGGGGGACUUGUUUACAAGCCUCUUGCUAAUAGAUGAGCCUAGGUCGGAUUAGCUAGUUGGUAGGGUAAAGGCCUACCAAGGCGACGAUCUGUAGCUGGUCUGAGAGGAUGGCCAGCCACACUGGAACUGAGACACGGUCCAGACUCCUACGGGAGGCAGCAGUGGGGAAUAUUGGACAAUGGGGGAAACCCUGAUCCAGCAAUACCGCGUGUGUGAAGAAGGCCUGCGGGUUGUAAAGCACUUUCAGUUGGGAAGAUAAUGACGUUACCAACAGAAGAAGCACCGGCUAACU
RNAcentral lists this ribosomal RNA (446 nucleotides) under uncultured bacterium. RNAcentral describes it as "bacterial SSU rRNA". It matches the Rfam family "Bacterial small subunit ribosomal RNA", at positions 30 to 502 of the family's 1533-position model. The record is from RNAcentral.